CCUACGGGGGGCAGCAGUGGGGAAUAUUGGACAAUGGGCGAAAGCCUGAUCCAGCCAUGCCGCGUGUGUGAAGAAGGCCUUCGGGUUGUAAAGCACUUUCAGUGGGGAAGAAAGCCUUGGGUCUAAUACCCUCGAGGAAGGACAUCACCCACAGAAGAAGCACCGGCUAACUCCGUGCCAGCAGCCGCGGUAAUACGGAGGGUGCGAGCGUUAAUCGGAAUUACUGGGCGUAAAGCGCGCGUAGGCGGUCUGAUAAGCCGGUUGUGAAAGCCCCGGGCUCAACCUGGGAACGGCAUCCGGAACUGUCAGGCUAGGGUGCAGGAGAGGAAGGUAGAAUUCCCGGUGUAGCGGUGAAAUGCGUAGAGAUCGGGAGGAAUACCAGUGGCGAAGGCGGCCUUCUGGACUGACACUGACGCUGAGGUGCGAAAGCGUGGGUAGCAAACAGGAUUAGAUACCCCAGUAGUC
RNAcentral lists this ribosomal RNA (465 nucleotides) under Vreelandella stevensii. Its description in RNAcentral is "partial 16S ribosomal RNA". It matches the Rfam family "Bacterial small subunit ribosomal RNA", at positions 338 to 795 of the family's 1533-position model. Lineage: Bacteria; Pseudomonadati; Pseudomonadota; Gammaproteobacteria; Oceanospirillales; Halomonadaceae. The record is from RNAcentral.